AAGGGGUGCAAUGAGAGGUCGGCUAGAUAGUUAUGUGCACCAUUUAUUUUUUUUCAAUGAAUAAAAGAAUGUUUAAGAGGCAGAAGGACUCUUCUGUGCCUCUUAACAACCUAAAGUCCAUGCUUUAAUCUAGUAGAAAAAUGAAGAGAUGCCUUCAUGCAGAAGGACUCCUCCCUUAGUGUAGAAAUAAAAUCAUUGAUGAAUUUCAUCGAUGUUUUCCGAAG
Molecule: long non-coding RNA, 224 nt
Filed under: Elaeis guineensis (African oil palm)
Lineage: Eukaryota; Viridiplantae; Streptophyta; Magnoliopsida; Arecales; Arecaceae
Description: long non-coding RNA (EGUI_LNC057297)
Source: RNAcentral